This 2081-nucleotide unclassified non-coding RNA is filed under the name Hevea brasiliensis (rubber tree). The stretch from base 1676 to 1748 matches the Rfam family "tRNA". Lineage: Eukaryota; Viridiplantae; Streptophyta; Magnoliopsida; Malpighiales; Euphorbiaceae. The record is from RNAcentral.
UUUAUUUGGUAGGUAACAUCGCCGAAGCGUAUCAUCAGAUUUUACUUCGAAGGAAGGAACUCGAAGUGAGACGGCACCGUCUUGUGCAACGCAACUACCGUUGCGCCUUCUAUCAUCAACUAUCCGGUAGACUUGGUAAAAAAGGGCCCCGACUUAUUUCCAGAAUUAGAGUUCGACCGCAGCUGCCCCUUUUUUUGGGAGGAUCAAGUUCCUUGCCAACUAUCGACCCCGAUCUCUUUUCAUUUGUUUUGGGUAUUACCAAACCUAGCCUAGCCUUCGUCAAUUACACUAAAGCAGAGCACCCAACUAUGGAAAGGCCCCCUUAAGGGUUAGGUUAGUCAAUCCGGCCCGAGACGCGUUCGUUGACAAAACCGCCGUAGGAAUAGAGACCUUUCAAUAGAGCGGAGGCGAACUGAUCAACGAGAAAGAGGCCCUACUCACUACAAACGAAUACACCACAAGAUCGAACUGCACUCAUGCCUCUCCCGCAUCAAGUUGACCACCCCCCCCUAUGUAGUGAUUCUAUCAAUCAUGUACGUAGGUAGGCCCUCCAUUCUGAUUGGUAUAUCAUGAAAAAAGAAAGCCAUUUGCACCAGGCGCACUGCGCUUUCCCUUGCCCAGAUGUUUGUCUUUCUAAGUCAAGUAAUGGUGACCCGCCGAAGACUGGAGCCUCGUAACAUGUUGACGAAGACCUCCGAACUGAGGGUUCGAUCAGUAGAGGGGACGACUUAGCCUCCCCGGAAGAAGAAUAGCCCCGCUCUCUAGCCGACUGAUGCCGUUGAUCAUAUAACUGAGAGGGAACGUGUCACAUUAGAGGUGAACGAUCAGAGAUGUCCUAUAAUCACCACGAUGAGGCCGGUCCCUCUUUUAGUAGACUCAGCUAUGAAUAUGAAUGAAGAAAUGAAUGCCGGGCUCUUUCUUUCACUGCUAACCCCAAGAAGUUUCUUAAUGCUGAUACUUUUUGUUUCGUCGAGCCCCAAGCUUGUGGUCCUCCUUUGAGUGUGGGUUCAAUUGGAUGAAUCCGUCAAGUCAAGGUCAACGUACGUAGCAGCAAGGAUGGUGCAUCGCCUAUUUCUCGUUCUCGCUCGGGAGCCAAAACGAACACGCCUGAUACCUACUGUACUGGACCUUCGACCAGGCAUUCUACCCUUGUCGAAUCGGAACCAACCACCACUGCAUUGCGCUCGAACAGUUGAGCGGCCGCCGGCCGGCAACUUCCGUACACAGAUAUAGAUUCAUUCUUCGUACCUGGUCCAACCUCACAACCCUUCGCGGGUUGGUCAGAAGUCAGUCUUGUUUGGUAAGACGGAAUUGGACAAAGAAAAGAGAGUGCUCGACCGGAACAACGGCCAACAAAGACCGUAAUUACAUAAACCAUAUCCUCCCCUUAUCCGUCUUUAAGGCUUUAAGGCGAACCGUAUGGCGGCUGGAAAGAAAGAGACCUCACCUUCUCGUAGAUGGUGUCAGUGAGAGCAACUUUUUUAUCCCCCGUUGACCUUCUUUUUUAGAUAGAAUCUUCAAUGAGUGGAAAGAAGCAACCUUACUAAUAAUAAGAAAGGUGCUUGUUGAGUAAGGCCGGCUUUAGAGCCCAAGCCCCUUUAAUAUGAUGAGAAGAAGAGGGGCCGCCCUCUUUUCUUUUCCGCACCAAUCCUUAUUUACUACUACAUAAUUUUUUGGUUGUAUGGCUCAAUUGGUAGAGAAUUGGGCUUUUAACCUAAUGGUCGCAGGUUCAAGUCUUGCUAUACCCAAAUACCUUACACUACACUAUUAGUAAGGAUGCGUAGUAGCGUUCAAAGAUCACUCUUUGGCGCAGACAGUCUUCAGCACUCAUCAGCUCAGAGCAAAUUUCACAUAAAUCCCAGAUGGCAGUACCAUGGAGAGGUUAUGUCAAAUUAGGAAAUUUCUGUGUAAACAAUGCAUUAAUCACUUUUUUUUGACUGAAUGGUAAAAGAAUAUUAUAGGCUAUGGAGCUAUGCGGUUGAAGAUAAGUUUCCUGCAUUACUUCUUUCUUUCUGAAGUGGACUGCAGUCUCUAGCCUUUUUUUCAACCAAUAAAUAAUGAACAGAUGAGGCAUCACAAAA